Long non-coding RNA from Mesocricetus auratus (golden hamster), 2794 nucleotides. RefSeq lists it as uncharacterized. NCBI's taxonomy places the organism in Eukaryota, Metazoa, Chordata, Mammalia, Rodentia, Cricetidae. The transcript is spliced from 4 exons. The record is from RefSeq and is a predicted model, not a curated record.
CUGUUGGGCUAGCAGAAGGCAGAAGCCAGCACCAUCUUAAGGGUGCGGCACUUCGCAGCUCUCUACAUAACAGGACUGUUACACAUAGAUGGAGACAGCAUACACAAGACCUGGAGAAGGCUAAGCCAGACAAAAUCCCAGCACUGAGAAGGGGAAGAGGACACAAGUUCCAGGAAAGCAGUCUCUGUCCUGGGAGGAUUUCAAGAAUUACACCGUCCAUUUGGAUUCUUUGCUGGACUUUUUGAUGGAUGGUCUUAAAUAACAUGUAAGCAGAAUGUUCAGAAACACUGACAAAAUAGGGUCUCAGCAACCCCUUCUGAAGAGACAGUGGAAAGAAGUAAGAACCAGAUGGGAUGGAGGACACCUAGAAAACAAGGUCCUCUAAAUCAAUAUGAUGGACACACAUAUGAACUCAGAGACUGAAGCAGCAUACACAGACCCUACACAGGUCUGUACUAGAUAGGGCGCUAAACCUGAAAGGCAAAGUGAACACAAGCCCUCAUCUGAACCCACAAUCAAUCUCCAAUCAGUAACUACUUGCAAAUGAAACUUCAGUUUUCUCCAAUGAUGCCUCACUGAGGAACAAACUACUUUUAAGGAUAUACUACAUGCCCCUUAGUAGGUAGCCAACAGAAAAUCAACUCAAUGACAUCUUUAGAGGUCAGAGCAUUAUAGUCUUUGAUAAAACAAAUACAUAGCCACGAUGAAACAAAAUUGAUGACUGACAUAAGGAAAUCAAGCUAGAACAGAAUGGAGAACUUCUUCCCUGCCAACUAGCUUCAAUACUUCCAAAAGGUAUUGGACACGCUGCCCUACCUGGACAGGCUGGACAGAAACCUUACUGUGAGCAAGGACCAUUCCAUCUUGUAAAACUCUUCCAUUUUGGUUGAACUGUGAUAAUUCUUAAAACUACACUAAUUAGGUUCCUAGAUAUAAGCUAACUUGUUUCUCUAGAUUCUUGCCUUCCCUGACCUAAGGAUUCCAAAGAAUGGCCAGUUCGGAGAUUCUUGUUUACCACCUUUCUUUAACUGACUACUCACGGGUUUCUCCUAGCAAGGGCCAACUACAGGUGAAGAAAAAAGCAGGAAAUUUUCAGCCCACUCCAUUUAUGCCCUAUAAAACCCUAGCUCAUAAGUGGAUGGUGGGCUCUUAUUGUUAUAGACAUCCUCUAAAUGUUUUUGCCCCCAAAAUAAGAGUCUGAACAAUCUUUAUUAACUCAGCUGCUAGUCUGCCUUUCCUUCUCAUUGAUCUUUCACCUAUGACCUUUAACACUAAUCUGCCAAGCAAGAGGCACCACUCCAUGCAAAAAUACUGUGAGUGUUGUGAGGAUAACCAAUAAAUCUUGUCUGACACCCCCUACAAGAGAAAAUUCAAACCCAUUAGUAUAAACCCAGUCAAAGAAGCAUGGCUACAGGGUAUUAGGUCCCAGGCAAGAAGUUUAAGGCAUUGUUUAGGCCAUGUGUAAUUCUGCUAAAAUGUUCUCUAAAGACUUAUACUCAUGGGCAAGCAAUACUCAGACAAAUAAAAUCUCUUUGAAAUAAGCAGCAGCGAAUGCAGAGAUGUUUCAAGGAACAUAUAGAUAAGCAAUGGCUGAGCAUCCAGCCAUAAACAGGAUAUUUAAGUCACCUGCUCUGAGUCUCAGGGAUCACUACAGAAGAGGGAAUAGAAACACUGCAAGAAACAGAAGACAGAGAGAAACAGUGAGGUGCUGUUCCUUGUAUGCAUCAGCCAUCUGAGUCAUGACUUCCACUAACUCUGGAUAGAUACAAUAGCUCUUCAACAGCCUAUGUCUAUGGACAGUUUAUAAGUGAUCAGGGAGGGACUCAUGAAAUCUUUUCUUCUUCCAGGUGAACUGCUGGAUACUGAUGGAUUCUGGGGGGAGAAAUAGUUUGUGACUUCAUUUAUUUCUUAUUGAGAAGACCAUUAUGGUCUCACAAAUGGUCCCCAUCAUAGAGAUGGUCCUGAUUACUCUCAAUGGACACAAAUAUAUAAAUAUAUAGAUACAGAUAGGUAGAUGAUAUAUAAACAAAUAGGUAGAUGAUAUAUAGAUAGGAUUAAAUGUUUAAAGGGGGCUUGUAGCAAAAAAGGGAAAAGUUAAUAGUGAGAGGGAGACUAACUGGAAUAUUAUAAUAACCAGAAUGUACUAUAUACAUAUAUAAAAUUAUGAAAGAAUAAAUUUAGCAAAAGGUUAAAUAAAUAAAUAAAUGGAAAAAGAAAUGCCAAGACAAUAUUGUUAGAAUGUUAUUUUGUUUCUACCUUUGCUGUUUAUUCUGUAAGAACAAAAAUCGUUUGGAAAGAUCUUUUAGUCAACACCAGCUUGAUGAAUAGCUCAGCAGUGUAGAGUUCUUGUUCUUCCAGUAGACUCAGUUCCAUUAUUACCAGUACCUGCCCAGUAACUCACAACCGCCUAGUUCCACGGAAUAUGACACUCUCUCCUCUUCUGGCCUUUAUGCAAGUAUGAUACUGUGAGUGCAUGGGGUACACAUACAAACAUGCAGGCAACUCACACCCAUAAAGUUACAUAAAUAAAACUAAACUAAAAAUUUUAUAAAGAUAACAAGAAUAAUCUCUAAUGCAGAAUCAUAUGUCCAUUUCUGUGUCUAUCUCACUAUAACACAAUGAAUUUGUCGCUAGAUUAGGAGUCCUACAUUGCUCAUUUUACAAAACACAUAUUACUGUAGGCACAAAUUUAGUGAAUGUAAUUACGAAGUUAUAUAACCAAGGGUUUUUAAAAUUCUUCUAGCAUACAUGUCUAAUAUGAUUUUCAUAAUUUGCAUGUCAAAAAUAUACAAUA